GGUUCCGUUGUGUAAUGGUUAGCACUCUGGACUUUGAAUCCAGCGAUCCGAGUUCGAGUCUCGGUGGAACCU
Molecule: transfer RNA, 72 nt
Filed under: Schistocerca americana (American grasshopper)
Lineage: Eukaryota; Metazoa; Arthropoda; Insecta; Orthoptera; Acrididae
Description: tRNA-Gln
Rfam family: tRNA
About the family: Transfer RNA (tRNA) molecules are approximately 80 nucleotides in length. Their secondary structure includes four short double-helical elements and three loops (D, anti-codon, and T loops).
Source: RNAcentral